Molecule: ribosomal RNA, 333 nt
Filed under: uncultured Glomeromycotina
Lineage: Eukaryota; Fungi; Glomeromycota
Description: eukaryotic LSU rRNA
Source: RNAcentral
AAUCACCCUCUCGUCGGGUAGGUCACAUGGUUGGUGGGCGUGCCUCAAAACCGCCACGGCGUGUGACCUCACGAUGACGGGGAGCACUUUCGUGUCCGCUGGUUAACAUCAAUUUCGAACGUCAUAAAAAGGCUGGAGGGAUGUGGCUCCUUCGGGAGUGUUAUAACCUUUAGCGGAAUGUGGUGUUCGGGAUUGAGGAUUGCAACGAAUACCUUUAGGGCUGUUCCACCUGGCUUCUCUUUGGUAUCCUGGUGACGACAGCUUGCUGACUUUGUUAGGAUUCGCCUUUGAACAGGCUAGAGUGUGAGCAAAUUCGUUAAGGAUGUUAACGUA